Molecule: ribosomal RNA, 407 nt
Filed under: uncultured Alphaproteobacteria bacterium
Lineage: Bacteria; Pseudomonadati; Pseudomonadota; Alphaproteobacteria
Description: bacterial SSU rRNA
Rfam family: Bacterial small subunit ribosomal RNA
Source: RNAcentral
GAGUUUGAUCUUGGCUCAGAACGAACGCUGGCGGCAUGCCUAACACAUGCAAGUCGGAACGGGAUCCAUCUUUCGGGAUGGUGAGAGUGGCGGACGGGUGAGUAACGCGUGGGAAACCUGGCCCACGUGGUAGGGGGAUAACUGCGGGAAACUACAGCUAAAUACCGCAUGAGCCCGAGAGGGGAAAGAUUUAUCGCCAUUGGAGGGGCCCGCGUUCGAUUAGGUAGUUGGUGGGGUAAUGGGCCUACCAAGCCGAACGAUCGAUAGCUGGUCUGAGAGGAUGAUCAGCCACAACUGGGACUGAGAUACGGCCCAGACUCCUACGGGAGGCAGCAGUGGGGAAUAUUGGGACAAUGGGGACAACCCUGAUCCAGCAAUGCCGCGUGAGUGAUGAAGGCCUGGUGUAA